GCCGGCAUAGCUCAGUGGUUAGAGCGGAGCACUCAUAACGCUCAGGUCGAUGGUUCGAUUCCAUCUGUCGGCA
RNAcentral lists this transfer RNA (73 nucleotides) under bacterium. Its description in RNAcentral is "tRNA-Met". It matches the Rfam family "tRNA". Rfam says of the family: Transfer RNA (tRNA) molecules are approximately 80 nucleotides in length. The record is from RNAcentral.